AGUGAACGCUGGCGGUAGGCCUAACACAUGCAAGUCGAACGGCAGCACAGUAAGAGCUUGCUCUUACGGGUGGCGAGUGGCGGACGGGUGAGGAAUACAUCGGAAUCUACUUUUUCGUGGGGGAUAACGUAGGGAAACUUACGCUAAUACCGCAUACGACCUACGGGUGAAAGCAGGGGAUCUUCGGACCUUGCGCGAUUGAAUGAGCCGAUGUCGGGUUAGCUAGUUGGCGGGGUAAAGGCCCACCAAGGCGACGAUCCGUAGCUGGUCUGAGAGGAUGAACAGCCACACUGGAACUGAGACACGGUCCAGACUCCUACGGGAGGCAGCAGUGGGGAAUAUUGGACAAUGGGCGCAAGCCUGAUCCAGCCAUACCGCGUGGGUGAAGAAGGCCUUCGGGUUGUAAAGCCCUUUUGUUGGGAAAGAAAAGCAGCAGGUUAAUACCCCGCUGUUCUGACGGUACCCAAAGAAUAAGCACCGGCUAACUUCGUG
This 492-nucleotide ribosomal RNA is filed under the name uncultured bacterium. RNAcentral describes it as "partial 16S ribosomal RNA". It matches the Rfam family "Bacterial small subunit ribosomal RNA", at positions 29 to 507 of the family's 1533-position model. The record is from RNAcentral.